This is a long non-coding RNA of Amphimedon queenslandica, 352 nucleotides long. RefSeq lists it as uncharacterized. The record is from RefSeq and is a predicted model, not a curated record. Lineage: Eukaryota; Metazoa; Porifera; Demospongiae; Haplosclerida; Niphatidae. The transcript has 3 exons.
AAUGCCAAGACUAAGCCAGAGUCUUUCCCUGCUAAUGACAAUAUAGAGCUAGAAAUUGACAGAAGUGACAGGAAGGAGAGAAAUCUAAUGAUGACAUUAAUUUUAGUGAUAGUGAAAUUGAUUUGAGAUAUAAUUGUCUCACUGUCUAUUACUGGCAAGUAACUCAUGAGGUCCAGCUUCACAAUAUGUGGCUAUACUUGAUGAUUUAAAAUUAGUAAAACAAUAGCAAGCUUCUGGAUAAUCUAAAAUUCCUCCAUCAGUUCUAGUAAAGAUAUUGAGGAAAUGUCAUGUCAUGAAAUCAUACAGCUCUUAUUAACCACAAAGGUUAACGUAUAUUUGGAAAUGUUGUUUA